GCUAAUGUAGUGUAGUGAUUUGAGCACUGGACUACAACUCUGGAAACCAGGGUUUGAAUCCUUGCUUGGGCA
Non-coding RNA from Phrynosoma platyrhinos (Desert horned lizard), 72 nucleotides. The record is from the annotation of a GenBank genome assembly. NCBI's taxonomy places the organism in Eukaryota, Metazoa, Chordata, Lepidosauria, Squamata, Phrynosomatidae.